UUAACCAUUAUUUUCAUUUCUUGAAAAGAAGGAAGAAAAAAAAAUGAUUCAAGUUAAAAUUAAUUAGAAGAAAAAACUGCUCUGGUUGAAAAUAAGUAGAAGUGGGCAGCCUCCAGCUAUAUAAAUACGUAUCUUCAUGGGAGCAUUUUGCAAACACAAAUUUGAUCAAGAGUUCAAAUAAUUAGAAAUAAUGGGAAAAGUUGUGGGUAACUCUGCCAAGAUGGUUGUUUUGCUCUUCCUUUUCACCCUCAUGCUUUCCAUCAAUGAAAAGCAAGGGGCGGUGGAGGCAAAGUUGUGUCAGGAGCGGAGUAAGACGUGGUCGGGAUAUUGCGCCAUCACGAGCCAUUGCGACCGACAAUGCAAGAAUUGGGAAGGUGCAGUUCGUGGAGCUUGCCACGAUCACGUUCCUGGAAAGGCUUGUUAUUGCUACUACAACUGUUGAAAACCAUGCAAUAAUUCCUUAUGAAUUGAUGAUGAUAAUCUCCAUCUCCAUCUUAUAUAUUCCCCCUUUUCAGAAAAAUAAAAACUGUGUAAUUUUCUUAUGUGGGUGUGAAGGGAUAUCAAUAUGGUAAUAUUAAUUAGUUUUUAAUUAGUGUUUUUUUAAGUGUGAGAAGUCUAUGUAGUUGGAAAAGUGUGUAUUGUGGUUAUUGUGAUAAAUAUGCUGUUAUUUAUCUUUUUAGCAGCUUGUUUGUGUGUCUGUCUUCGUCUUCAUAUCAAAAUAAAAUGGCCUUGCUGGUUGUCUCCCACUA
This is a long non-coding RNA of Cucumis melo (muskmelon), 749 nucleotides long. RefSeq lists it as uncharacterized. Lineage: Eukaryota; Viridiplantae; Streptophyta; Magnoliopsida; Cucurbitales; Cucurbitaceae. The record is from RefSeq and is a predicted model, not a curated record. The transcript has 2 exons.